ACGCACGUGUGAAACUUGAAGGAAUUGACGGAAGGGCACCACAAGAACGCGUGGAGCAUGUGGCUUAAUUUGACUCAACGCGGGAAAUCUUACCGGGUCCGGACACACUGAGGAUUGACAGGCAAUAUUAAAUAAAGAAAAUUUUUGGACUAUCUGAUAUUUAUGUUAAAUAUGCUAGUCCUUUCAUGAUUAUGUGAUAGGUGGUGCAUGGCCGUUCUUAGUUCGUGGAGUGAUCUGUCUGCUUAAUUGCGUUUCACUAAGGGCUUAUCUAAUCAUAACGUGUGUUGCUAGAGUUUUAUACCUUUGUGACCCCUUUAAUUAGUGUGUGUCUAUAAUGGUAGCUUUGGCUCACACAAUUAAGUCCUGAAAGCAACGAACGUGACCG
Molecule: ribosomal RNA, 385 nt
Filed under: Foraminifera environmental sample
Lineage: Eukaryota; Foraminifera
Description: SSU rRNA
Rfam family: Eukaryotic small subunit ribosomal RNA
Source: RNAcentral